Molecule: non-coding RNA, 65 nt
Organism: Dipodomys ordii (Ord's kangaroo rat)
Lineage: Eukaryota; Metazoa; Chordata; Mammalia; Rodentia; Heteromyidae
Source: Rfam
GGUGGCACAGUGGUAGAGCACUUGCCUUGCAUGCAUGAGGCCCUGGGUUCGAUUCCUCAGCACCA